CCUACGGGAGGCUGCAGUGAGGAAUAUUGGUCAAUGGGCGCAAGCCUGAACCAGCCAAGUAGCGUGAAGGAUGACUGCCCUAUGGGUUGUAAACUUCUUUUGUAUGGGAAUAAAGUGCUCCACGUGUGCUGCUUUGCAUGUACCUUAUGAAUAAGGCUCGGCUAACUCCGUGCCAGCAGCCGCGGUAAUACGGAGGAUCCGAGCGUUAUCCGGAUUUAUUGGGUUUAAAGGGAGCGUAGGUGGGUUGUUAAGUCAGUUGUGAAAGUUUGCGGCUCAACCGUAAAACUGCAGUUGAAACUGGCAUUCUUGAGUACAGUAGAGGUAGGCGGAAUGCGUGGUGUAGCGGUGAAAUGCUUAGAUAUCACGAAGAACUCCGAUUGCGAAGGCAGCAUACUGGACUGCAACUGACGCUGAGGCUCGAAAGUGUGGGUAUCAAACAGGAUUAGAUACCCUGGUAGUC
This 460-nucleotide ribosomal RNA is filed under the name uncultured bacterium. RNAcentral describes it as "partial 16S ribosomal RNA". It matches the Rfam family "Bacterial small subunit ribosomal RNA", at positions 338 to 795 of the family's 1533-position model. The record is from RNAcentral.